AUGGUGCUGCGAAAGUUACCCGGUGUCUCCGCAUCGGGCAUGGGGCUUCGUCUUUCUCAGAAAUUCGUCUUUCUGCUGUUCCUCUCGGGCUUGGUCACUCUGUGCUUCGGGGCGCUUUUCUUCUUACCCGACAGCGUGCGUCUGAAGCGCAUUUUCCUCUCCAAAAAUGAGAGUCCCGCGGUGACUGUGGGCUCCGAGAAUGAGCUUUCCAAAAAGGUGCCCGGGGAUCCAGAGCACCAGCGGGCGGGAUUAAAAGGUGCUGAGGCCAAUCUCAAACUGAAAGUGAGCCGCACGCCGUCGGUCACCCAUGGAGCGAGAACCGUGGAGAGAUCGGUUGGGAGCCGGGCGCAGGACGAGUGGAGCCCGGCGAGGGCGCAUGAACCAGCGGCCAGGGACGAGCGGGUCACCGCGGCGGCUCAUAACCAGGAACACAGCAGCUCUUUCAACUAUGAGGCGUUUAAAAAGUGCCUCCUGAAACCACCUAUCGGAAAGGACCAGGGGACUCCAUCUGACUCCGGGACGCUUCAGAGGAGGGAGAAAGUCAAAGAGAAAUGACGGAAUCCGCUCAUCAUCACACAGACGCAGAUCAACAGCAUCAAAACUCCAGAAAUCCCAUCAUGCAUUUGAUCAGUAAAAGCAUCAAAGACGAGCGUCGCUGCAGCUUUGAUCCCAGAAUCCUCUGCAUGAAAGACACACCAAAUAAAAUCCCAAUUAACACGAUGAUGUGAGAACUACAUCCCUCAGCUCAUGCCAACAGUGAAGUUUGGGCUGUAAACUUAUAUCAGUUUUUUUUCUAGGUCACAUUCUGUUAUGCUAUUCCCCGAUUAAUAUGCAAAUUAAAGUUGUCUGAGAAACUGAAUGAAUGAAUGAAUGAACAAAUUAAAAAAAUAAAUAGCCAACCAUUCAUUCAUUUUUCUUACCUUAUUUAUCAGGGGUCACCCCAGCGGAAUGAACCGCCAAUUGUUCUAGCAUUUGCUUUAUGCAGCGGAUGCCCUUCAAGCAGCAACAAAGUACUGGGAAACACCAAUUAGGUAUAUGCCUAGCUAGUGCUGUUCCCAUGCUGAUACACUUCCGGUGACCUGUUUUUGUGAACUUUUUUCCAUUUUAUACGGUUCCUUAUACAGCAUCGAUGUUGUAAUGUCAUUAAAAUACAUUCAGUUAAAUAAACUUUAGUAUUUAUUUAGUUGCUCAAGCGUAAAACGAGACAAAAAGCUGUUUACUCGCACGCACCCAUCAGAAUCGGCAGGCUAACGCAGAAGCUCCAUUAAAUAUACUGGGGUAAAAUAAAUGCUCAUAUUAUAAAGACAUGGCGGGGGGAAAUGUAAUGUAAUGCAGUGCAUCUUGUACAAUCUGAGAUCCACUUUAAAUCGGAUAUCACUCAGCUAGUGGAGAUCGCUGAUUUUUAAAGAAAACAAACCUUAACCGCACCGGAUUUUGCAUUGGCAUUCAAUUCGACGGAAGCGCUUAACCCAGGUUACCUGCAUAUUAAGAGUCCUACUAGCAUGCUUCGGCAUAUACCCCAUACACUCACACAUUCACACACACUCAUACACUACGACCAAUUUAGUUCACUUAUACAGCAUGUGUUUAGACUGUGCGGGAAACUGGAGCACCCGGAGAAAACCCACACCAACACGGGGAGAACACAUUGCAAAUUCCACAUAGAAAUGCCUGCUGGCCCAGCCGGGACUCAAACCAGAGACCUUCUUCUUGCAGUAAGGUGACUAACCACAGAGCCGCGUGCCGCCUCUAAAUAGCCAGUCAACUAAAUAAAUAAAACAAAUACAUUAAAUAACUCAACAAUUAAUGUUUAAUUAAUUAACGUUUUGACAAAAAAUAAAUAAAUAAAACAUAAUAUAAAUAAAAAAACUAAUUAAAUAUUAGGCAAAAUUGAAUUGAAUUUAAUCUAAUUAGCAAUUUAUCAUGCAAUCGAUUCGGUUCAAUUCGACGUCUCGGUGCGUUGACGAUACUUUCCAUACAUAAUUGGAUUUUUUCUUCACAACACAAUCACUUUUUUAUUAAAAUCUAAAAUAAAUAAAUAAAUAAAUAUAUAUAUAUAUAUAUAUAUA
RNAcentral lists this long non-coding RNA (2069 nucleotides) under Danio rerio (zebrafish). Its description in RNAcentral is "lncRNA (ENSDARG00000117288.1)". Lineage: Eukaryota; Metazoa; Chordata; Actinopteri; Cypriniformes; Danionidae. The record is from RNAcentral.